AACGUAGGGGGCUAGCGUUGCCCGGAUUCACUGGGCGUAAAGCGGGCGUAGGCGGUUCUUUAAGUCGGAUGUGAAAUCCAGCGGCCCAACCGCUGAAUUGCAUCCGAUACUGGGGAACUUGAGGACGGUAGAGGUCGGUGGAAUAUCCGGUGUACCGGUGAAAUGGACAGAUAUCGGAUGGAACACCAGUGGCGAAGGCGGCCGACUGGGCCGAUCCUGACGCUGAGACCCGAAAGCUAGGGUAGCGAACCGG
This 253-nucleotide ribosomal RNA is filed under the name uncultured bacterium. RNAcentral describes it as "partial 16S ribosomal RNA". It matches the Rfam family "Bacterial small subunit ribosomal RNA", at positions 524 to 776 of the family's 1533-position model. The record is from RNAcentral.